UGGGGAUUUUUGGACAAUGGGCGAAAGCCUGAUCCAGCAAUGCCGCGUGUGUGAAGAAGGCCUUCGGGUUGUAAAGCACUUUUGUCCGGAAAGAAAACGCCGUGGUUAAUACCCGUGGCGGAUGACGGUACCGGAAGAAUAAGCACCGGCUAACUACGUGCCAGCAGCCGCGGUAAUACGUAGGGUGCAAGCGUUAAUCGGAAUUACUGGGCGUAAAGCGUGCGCAGGCGGUCCGCUAAGACAGAUGUGAAAUCCCCGGGCUUAACCUGGGAACUGCAUUUGUGACUGGCGGGCUAGAGUAUGGCAGAGGGGGGUAGAAUUCCACGUGUAGCAGUGAAAUGCGUAGAGAUGUGGAGGAAUACCGAUGGCGAAGGCAGCCCCCUGGGCCAAUACUGACGCUCAUGCACGAAAGCGUGGGGAGCAAACAGG
RNAcentral lists this ribosomal RNA (429 nucleotides) under bacterium. Its description in RNAcentral is "partial 16S ribosomal RNA". It matches the Rfam family "Bacterial small subunit ribosomal RNA", at positions 355 to 776 of the family's 1533-position model. The record is from RNAcentral.